CCCCUCAUUUCCCGAUUUUGAGUAACUUUUUAGACAGCCUGUAUAACAGUUUAAGAGCCAACAAAAUAAUUGUUAUGGAUUGCAUCUAAGAAUUGAAAUAGAGACCAUAACUGAAUAACCGAUACUGAUUGGAAAUUUUGGUUCUUCAUAACAUAUUUGAGAUGAAGAUUCAUCAUAAUUGUUGUAAGAACCGAGAUUAAUAUUGAGACAGUUUUCGAGCCGUAUACGUACCAUGUAAUUGUAGCAUUCUCCAUUAAUAGAAAAACAACUACGAGUUUGGCUCGGUAGUGGACUACAAAGACUAUUUUCGACAUUGAGAUUGGUGUUGCUCGUAAUUAGUAAUAGUAUAGUUUUUCGUAUGCUGACUAAUUACUUAUUGAAUUUCUAUUUUUGUUAUAGUCACAUCUACAAACCCGUUCAUCGGAGCAAAUGCUGGUUCAUCCGGCACAGGUCCUACAAAGUGGUAGUCACGGAAAAUUAUGAAUCUAGAUCAUAUUACAUAUGAAGACCCAUCCGUUGGAAUUAAACAAUCGAGAACACUGUCUCAAGUAAAAAAGGAGAGGAACGCUAAUCGACUUGUUAGUGUAGCCUGAUAUGGUGCUAUCGGUAUCCACAGAGAAUUUAGCAACUAUGAAGAGGGAAAGGAAGGGGAAAUUUAUAUGUACGCAUGAAUCCACCAUGUUUACCGCGAAUCAGAAUUUAAACAAAGUGCGACACGAAGAAGCUGCAACGUAUAAGUUUCUCCGUCAUGAGUUCUUAAAUAUUCUCGACGAUAUAAAAAUAAAUAUUAUUAUAUUGGAUGCUAAUAUUUACUCAUAAUCGUUUCGUUACGUUCGUGCAUGAAAUACAUUAAAAUUUGGUCGUGUAUAUUUAUAUAUAAUACAUAUAUGUGUACAGGGUGGAGCACAUACGGUGUGCUAGAAGAAUGUCUUCUAAUAGAAACGAAGUUGCUAUUAAAAAAUAUUAUUCGAUGAAGUUGAAGUACCUUACAGAUUCCUCACAUUUAUUAUUCAUAAAUUCUUCUGAUAAGCUUUUGUUUUCAUCUUCGUUUGGAAAUUUUCCUAUUCUAACAUAACAUACAGAAUGCCCUGAAUACGAGUACAUAAAGUAUUUCGUUUAUUAUUAAUAAUAAAUAAAAAGUUUUCACAUGUAUCCAUUUCCAUUUACUUUUGCUGCUCAAGGUAUCAUUUGAAAAAUCAUCAAAUAAGCUUGAAAUCUUAAAAAGUGUAAUCUCAAAUAAAAUUAAACUUAAUCAUGUUUCACCUUAACAUUUCUCCUUCUUUAUUGAUAGUAAGUAAGAUGUUUAAGGUACUCGAGUUCAAUGGGACACCCUGUAUAAUAACAAUGUAUGUAAAUAAUAUUAUAAUAUCCAAAAUUUAUUCAAUUAGCAAGUUAAAGGACACAAAUGAUUAUUAGUUUGUAAAAAAUCUUUAUUUUCUUAAUUAUUUUGAGAAAAUCACUUUUAUGUAUACUUGAUUUCUUAAAUUUCAUAUUUGAACAACUGGUGGAUAAUUGGCAAUACGUUCACGUAAACUCGACUAUAUGCCAAUAAAGAUUUGAAUCUUUAUACUUUUUAUUGUACAUUAUCCGUUCGAGAAUUGUCCAUCGUGCUUAUGUCGAAACACCGGAAUUUAAUUUAUGAACAAGUAGAUUGUACACGGUAUUUAAUGUAUGUCGCAUAACGUUGAUCUAUCGAUUAAGGUUUAAUUACUAAACCUAAACUAUUUUGAUUUCCAUGAAAGUACACCUUAAUACUUUAUUACAUGGAACGUUUCGAAAAAUGUAUCAAUGCAGAAAGGAUGUGCAAGUAUGUUUCUAUUUCUGAACACAUUCUAAUUAUAACAGAAUUAUUAUUAUGUUAUUAUCGUUACAAUACAUCGUUUGUUAAUAAAUUUUCUUUAGUCAUCUCGAAAAAAAACAUGGAGACGAUUCAGUCAUUUUACAAUUGAAUGUAUCUAUAAAGAUCUGGUAAUCAUUGUUUGAUAUAAAAAUAAAAGAAUGCAUAUUUAGCAAUAGCUUGAAUAUGUGAAAAGUAACAUUCAGUAUUUACAUUAAGAGCGGUUCAGACGAAUAUGGAUUUUAUACAAAAUUACUUUAAUUUCAUUUUUUAUUACUUAAGUACAUUGUUUAACGAUUUUAAAUAUAAUAUACAAGCCAUUAUAAUUUUGUACCACCCAUAACGGGUGGUCUUCAACAAUGUAUUCGUUUAACUAUACUUAACUAUUUAACUAUAUUCCUGUAAUCAUUUAAUUAUAUCUGCAAUGAAAACAGA
This is a non-coding RNA of Megalopta genalis, 2272 nucleotides long. The record is from RefSeq and is a predicted model, not a curated record. NCBI's taxonomy places the organism in Eukaryota, Metazoa, Arthropoda, Insecta, Hymenoptera, Halictidae.